Long non-coding RNA from Crotalus tigris (Tiger rattlesnake), 3964 nucleotides. RefSeq lists it as uncharacterized. NCBI's taxonomy places the organism in Eukaryota, Metazoa, Chordata, Lepidosauria, Squamata, Viperidae. The transcript has 3 exons. The record is from RefSeq and is a predicted model, not a curated record.
AACUGGGAUGAUUCACAGGCUUUUAUCUUCCCGGUCACCUGUUUGGGGAACAAUGGAACGAUCAGGAGAUCAUCGUCUUCAUGAGCUUCGGAUGGGAAGCGGCAGCUUGACAGGCAAUAGCACUUCCUCCCAGGUGGAAGAGUUCUGGAAUUGUUUUCAUGACUGCAUCCAGGAGGUUGGCUGGUUCCCUGCGGAAAUGAAAUUGCGCUUCUGAUACCUGGCCAGUUGCUACUGAAUUCUGAUGGUACAAUUGUAGGGAUCGACGGUGAGCCUCUCAAAGCAGCUAUGCCAUCCUAGAAGGCCCAAUAUGAUUUAGAAGACAGCUAGAAAUCUCUCUGCAUAUUUUUAAAUUCAAGUGAUGGUAACACCUACACAUCAGGAAGAAAUGGAGGCAGAAAGAGAAGCAAACCUUGCUGAAAUCUUCUUGAAGUAAAGGAAUCUCUUAGGGAGUACGAGUGGAGAGUAAUGCAGGGGUGUAGAAAUGCAUUUUGGGUUUGUCAUUUGACUAUCUCUUUUGGGCAUAGAGCUAAAUGGGUUUAAGAACAAAUCUUGCUGUUUCUGAGGCACCCAUUUUAUCCCUUAAAACAGAACUCUUCAAACUUGGCCCUUUUAUGACUUGUGGACUUCAACUCCCAGAAUUCCUCAACCAGUGUUAAGUGAGUUUUCCUCCAUUUUACAACCCGUCUUGCCAUAGAUGUUAAGUGAAUCUGGCUUCCCCAUUGACCAAAGGACUUCAAACAUUAUGAUGUGUAGAGGUUGCGUCUUUAAAAAUAAGUUCAUUGUAAACUUUCCUAUUUCCUUAAUGAAGGAUUGGCUGCUGAGUACAAUUCAAAUCCCUGUUUAUUACCUAUAUAUCCCUUCUUGGCUUAAAGCCUGGUUAUUUAAGGGAUUGCCCAUGUUUUAUGGUGUCUCCUCAUCCAAUAUCAUCCAAUCUAGUGGAUGUGCUGUGUGUGUGUGUGUGUCAUUGUUGACUCUUGACAACAAUGGAUAAGUCCCUGCAGUUUUUAGAUGUGGUUUGCCAUUGCCUCCUUCCUAGGACUGAGACAGAGUGACUGGCCCAGCUGGCUCUGUGCCUAAGGUGCAAUUAGAACUCACAAUCUAGUCUGAUACCCUGAAACACUACAUGAAACUAGCUCUCACAGAUAGUAACAGGAAGAUUUUAAAGAAACUAAAUAGAAUUACAGUGUUUUGGAAUAGUGACGAGAGAGAGAGGUUUCAGAAUGAAAAAUGGAACCCUUGAACGUAUUUUCUUAUAUACCAUAAGUGGAAAAAGAGAUUGGCUCAUAAAUUAUUCUUCACCUAGAAAGCAUCACAUUUACAAGUUCUAAUUUGAUUCCACGUGUUUGGAGGAAAAAGGGCAAAAUACUGUAUGCAUCAAAAUGUGAUAUAUGAAUCUCUAUUAAAAUGAUGUUAAAUUAUAUUAUGUGUCAUUUUCAAUACGUAAUAAUUAAAAAUGUACUCAGGAAAAAAAAGAGAGGAGAAAGACAAGUUGGGAAACACCCAUGCAAUAUUUCUUAACCUCCCUCCUUCCAGCCUAACGUAGCACAGCAAAUUCUCUCAUUAAAUACUUGAUGAAGAAAGGAAGUAAUUAAAGACAAAAGUGGAAGGCCUGGGGGUCCGCUUCAUUUUUGCUUCAGAACAGAAGUCUCUUUCAGAAAAGAUAAAUCUGAGUUUCAGCAAUAAUAUCCUUCAUUUUAGAAAAUAUUUUUAAAGCAAAGCCAAAGCCAUAGGAAAUUAUAAUUUGCACAGCGUCUUGGAUCUGGUUACCGUACAAAUGUGUAUUAAGACAUGAAUCUAGCUCUUGUCUAUAACUCUUUAAAGCAGCUGUAUCUUCUCUCAAGAUUGCAUGGCUGCAUUCACAGCCCUGAGCUACUCUGAAGCACCUUUCUGAAACCGAAUCUUGAAAUGGUGCAGCCAUAUCCAUGGACUGCCUGAAGGAUAUCAAAGGGCCUUUUAUGAAGCAAUCAAGUGUAUACAGACUUGCAAGAUUGAUGUCAGCCCUCCCAGGUUAAGCAGACAGGAAUCACGAUGAGACAAAAUAAUUCUACUGUAUUGUAAAACUACAUUAACAGAAUCUUGCGAAUCUGAAAGUACAAACUUACUGCUUACAGUUUGAUAAUUGUGGCACGGGAGGGGGGGGGAAUCCUUCCUAAGUUUUUUUCCUUUGACAUUAAGCCACUGGGGGCUCCUGCCUCUGUUUUCUGAUUGUUUAGGCAGACUCUCUUCUCUUCUUUCUCCAAAGUCAUCUACACAUUCCAUUACAGGUGAGAAUUCAACCAUGUGACCAUAGUGAUUUUUUUUUUUUUACUCCCCCUCGCCUUUCCCUGUGUAGACGUUGCUUCUCCUCCUUUUAGAAGUUUGUUGACUUGUUGAAUAGAUGUUAGGAUUCUAAAGGAAAUACAUCACUGAUUUCAAGGGCUAUUUUCUAAGCCCUACCAAAACAGACUUUGCCCCAGUCUAGUUAGCAGCUCUUUUCUCUUAACUAUGCACAGAGAAAAAAAUCUACCUAUGAAAGAUACAUUCUACAAACAGAGAAGAUUUCUUAGGAUCUGCCUUUCUGACUUCAACUAGCAAAUCAGUUUAGACAGAUUGGGCAACUGCUGCACAUGCACGGAAUUGUUUUCUUUUUAUACUUUCCAACUGAACAGAAUGUCGGAAAUAAAUUAUGCAAAGAUUCUUAUUAUGUAAUUUUUUUUUUGCUUUACACCUUUUCUUUAUUUUUCUGUUUUUUUAAAAAAAGUCUGUUCUAUUUAAUUAAAUGAAGAGAAAAAAAAGGGUGUUUAAGAACUUUGUCCAUCUGUUUGACUUUCAGAGGAUAGCUGUCCAAAAAUGAAACCAAAUUAGAUCAAACUUUACAAAUAUGUUAGAUCAGGUUCAAGGUUGUAAGCAAAAAAUAAUAAAAUAAAAUAAAAAUCCCCAGAGUAUUUCUUCAUUCUAAAUCUGUCCCCUUUUCUCCCUGAUCAUGUGAUCAACAGAGGAACCAAUUUUAAGAAGUAAGAACAAAUUCUGGAAUACAUUCUUUUCUUGUUUGUUUAAAUCACCUAAUUGAUUUAACCUGACCAUCCAAAUCAGAUUGGAUAAUUUUUCCAAAGUGAAUCAAAACUCCAAAUUUUGCUCGACUCCUACUCUCUUAAUAUUUAUAGAUUAUAAAGAUUUCAUGUCAGAGAUAUUUACAUUUAAAAAAAACAUCUCUGAGAGAAAUUUAUUGCAGAUGGAAUAAUGGGAAUAAUUUCGUUAAAACAAUUUUUCAGGGAAUGCAAGUUAAAAAAAAAUGAUGCUCAUUAUAGCGAAGCGUGUACAAAAGCUUCUUACAUUAGGGAAAGCUGUGAGAGAAAACAGAUGGAGAUAUUUUAAAUGAAUUUUUAACAACCUGUUUCAGAAAAGACAGCCGAAAUAGUGCCUUAAUAAGGUAGAGAGCACAAUUAUUUGGCUUUACCUUGAUUCACACAUUUUUACUGAAUAUGACACAGGGUGACAGAAAGGUUUCCAAUAGGCCAUUCUUCCAUGUGAACAGGGGAUAAAAUUAUUAAAAAGACCUGCCAACAAGGAAGAAGGGGGGAUUACUCAGGCCCCACCCAUAGAAUAUAUCAGAAGUCUAGCUUAGCACUGAAGUGGGUCAGAUAAAUAGUUGGAAAAAAAUCUAUUAUUUCAUUCAAGGCAGUCAAACUAAUAAGCUAAAAUAUAAAUAAAACAAAAUCAAAAUUCUUGCAUCCUCCCCACACUUCCCUUUUCCUGGGCUAUUGAUUUUAGUGGACAAAAUGCAAUAAAAGGAAACAUACAGAUAUAUAUAUUUUAGACCCUUUUCUCCUUUGUUCAUUUCCUAGGGAGCUUUUUCACAUCUGGAAAUGUAGGCAAUUUGAGAAACUAUGAUGAUGGAAGAGUCUGUGACAGUAAAAUAAAAACUGCCAGCAUAUUUCAUCAAUUUGCCAUCACUGAACAUGCUUUGAAGACUUACAUAUUGGCA